Eriocheir sinensis (Chinese mitten crab) is the source of this 1044-nucleotide long non-coding RNA. RefSeq lists it as uncharacterized. Lineage: Eukaryota; Metazoa; Arthropoda; Malacostraca; Decapoda; Varunidae. The record is from RefSeq and is a predicted model, not a curated record. The transcript is spliced from 4 exons.
CGGCGGAAAGAAGGAAUGUAAGAGUGAGUUAGUACAGUUAUGAAGCGGCAGCAUGGUGGGAGGUUAACAUAGGUUGCGUUGGGUGUUUGUAAAGGUUGGUUCGAUUGAAUUACGUUACGUUUGGUAUGUUAAAAGUGGCUUGUUGUAGUUCUGGAGCAACAAGGGAACUCAAGAAGGCUAGAAGAGGAAGAUCUGGGUCUUUGGAGGUUUGAAUAACUUGUGUAGGAGGUUGGAUUGGGUGGUGUAAGGAUUGGUUAACUGGUGGAGGAGGUCUGAAGAGGUUGGAUUGGGUUGUGUAAGGAUUGGUUAACUGGUGGAGGAGGUCUGAAGAGGUUGGAUUGGGUGGUGUAAGGAUUGGUUAACUGGUGUAGGAGGUCUGAAGAGGUUGGAUUGGGUUGUGUAAGGAUUGGUUAACUGGUGGAGGAGGUCUGAAGAGGUUGGAUUGGGUUGUGUAAGGAUUGGUUAACUGGUGGAGGAGGUCUGAAGAGGUUGGAUUGGGUUGUGUAAGGAUUGGUUAACUGGUGUAGGAGGUCUGAAGAGGUUGGAUUGGGUUGUGUAAGGAUUGGUUAACUGGUGGAGGAGGUCUGAAGAGGUUGGAUUGGGUUGUGUAAGGAUUGGUUAACUGGUGGAGGAGGUCUGAAGAGGUUGGAUUGGGUUGUGUAAGGAUUGGUUAACUGGUGGAGGAGGUCUGAAGAGGUUGGAUUGGGUUGUGUAAGGAUUGGUUAACUGGUGUAGGAGGUCUGAAGAGGUUGGAUUGGGUUGUGUAAGGAUUGGUUAACUGGUGGAGGAGGUCUGAAGAGGUUGGAUUGGGUUGUGUAAGGAUUGGUUAACUGGUGUAGGAGGUCUGAAGAGGUUGGAUUGGGUGGUGUAAGGAUUGGUUAACUGGUGUAGGAGGUCUGAAGAGGUUGGAUUGGCUGUAUAAGGUUUGGUUGACCUGUUAAUGAGUUUAGAUGAGGAGGUUGAUGCCUUUUCAUAGACCUCAGUAAUGAUGAUGAUACUAAUGCUAAUACUAACACACUAACGCUAAUAACAACUUCCUCUUGG